RNAcentral lists this transfer RNA (44 nucleotides) under Ampelocissus arachnoidea. Its description in RNAcentral is "partial tRNA-Leu". The record is from RNAcentral. Lineage: Eukaryota; Viridiplantae; Streptophyta; Magnoliopsida; Vitales; Vitaceae.
AAAUCCGUCGACUUUAAAAAUCGUGAGGGUUCAAGUCCCUCUAU